CCGUACUUAGAUCGUUGCUUGUCCUUAAACAAUUUUCUUGCAUUAAAAUAUUUAUGACAAGACCGUUUUCAAAGAAAAGCUUGAUAAGACAUAUGCAUAAUUUCUUACAAGAAAAUCCAUGAUCCAUUCGCGAGGUUAAGUUUUUCGGUACUUGUUUGAUCCUAACGGUCUUAUGAAAAUGCUUUUUAUAGUCUCCCUCAAAGAUAAUAAUUCC
RNAcentral lists this long non-coding RNA (214 nucleotides) under Lathyrus oleraceus (garden pea). RNAcentral describes it as "Pisum sativum (pea) long non-coding RNA (PSAT_LNC022172)". Lineage: Eukaryota; Viridiplantae; Streptophyta; Magnoliopsida; Fabales; Fabaceae. The record is from RNAcentral.